Molecule: ribosomal RNA, 427 nt
Filed under: uncultured bacterium
Lineage: Bacteria
Description: partial 16S ribosomal RNA
Rfam family: Bacterial small subunit ribosomal RNA
Source: RNAcentral
UGGGGAAUAUUGGACAAUGGGCGAAAGCCUGAUCCAGCCAUGCCGCGUGUGUGAAGAAGGUCUUCGGAUUGUAAAGCACUUUAAGUUGGGAGGAAGGGCAUUAACCUAAUACGUUAGUGUUUUGACGUUACCGACAGAAUAAGCACCGGCUAACUCUGUGCCAGCAGCCGCGGUAAUACAGAGGGUGCAAGCGUUAAUCGGAAUUACUGGGCGUAAAGCGCGCGUAGGUGGUUUGUUAAGUUGGAUGUGAAAUCCCCGGGCUCAACCUGGGAACUGCAUUCAAAACUGACUGACUAGAAUAUGGUAGAGGGUGGUGGAAUUUCCUGUGUAGCGGUGAAAUGCGUAGAUAUAGGAAGGAACACCAGUGGCGAAGGCGACCACCUGGACUAAUACUGACACUGAGGUGCGAAAGCGUGGGGAGCAAACA